UACGUAGGUGGCAAGCGUUAUCCGGAAUUAUUGGGCGUAAAGAGCGCGCAGGUGGUUGAUUAAGUCUGAUGUGAAAGCCCACGGCUUAACCGUGGAGGGUCAUUGGAAACUGGUCGACUUGAGUGCAGAAGAGGGAAGUGGAAUUCCAUGUGUAGCGGUGAAAUGCGUAGAGAUAUGGAGGAACACCAGUGGCGAAGGCGGCUUCCUGGUCUGUAACUGACACUGAGGCGCGAAAGCGUGAGGAGCAAACAGGAUUAGAUA
RNAcentral lists this ribosomal RNA (261 nucleotides) under uncultured prokaryote. RNAcentral describes it as "partial 16S ribosomal RNA". It matches the Rfam family "Bacterial small subunit ribosomal RNA", at positions 524 to 784 of the family's 1533-position model. The record is from RNAcentral.